Molecule: unclassified non-coding RNA, 339 nt
Filed under: soil metagenome
Description: partial contains 5.8S ribosomal RNA, internal transcribed spacer 2, and large subunit ribosomal RNA
Rfam family: 5.8S ribosomal RNA (bases 1-120)
Source: RNAcentral
GAUGAAGAACGUAGCGAAAUGCGAUACGUAGUGUGAAUUGCAGAAUUCAGUGAAUCAUCGAAUCUUUGAACGCACAUUGCACCUCUCAGUAUUCCGGGAGGUAUGCCUGUUCGAGCGUCAUUUGUACCCUCAAGCUCUGCUUGGUGUUGGGUGUUUGUUCCGCCUCUGUGUGUGAACUCGCCUCAAAACAAUUGGCAGCCGGCGUACUUGUUUCGGAGCGCAGCACAUUUUGCGAUCCAGAUCAACGUACAGCGGCAUCCAAGAAGCCUUAUUUAACGCUCUUGACCUCGGAUCAGGUAGGGAUACCCGCUGAACUUAAGCAUAUCAAUAAGCGGAGGA